GUUAGUGGCGAACGGGUGAGUAAUACAUAGGUAACCUGCCCUAAAGAUGGGGAUAACUUUUGGAAACGAAAGGUAAUACCGAAUAGGAGAUUUGAAGGCAUCUUUAAAUCUUUAAAGGAGCAAUCCGCUUUAAGAUGAGCCUAAAUCAGAUUAGCUAGUUGGUGGGUAAAGGCCCACCAAGGCGACGAUCUGUAACUGGUCUGAGAGGAUGAUCAGUCACACCGGAACUGAGACACGGUCCGGACUCCUACGGGAGGCAGCAGUGGGGAAUAUUGGACAAUGGAGGCAACCCUGAUCCAGCCAUGCCGCGUGUGUGAAGAAGGCCUUUUGGUUGUAAAGCACUUUAAGCAGGGAGGAGAGGCUAAUGGUUAAUACCCA
RNAcentral lists this ribosomal RNA (378 nucleotides) under uncultured bacterium. RNAcentral describes it as "bacterial SSU rRNA". It matches the Rfam family "Bacterial small subunit ribosomal RNA", at positions 91 to 469 of the family's 1533-position model. The record is from RNAcentral.